This is an RNA transcript of Epinephelus moara (kelp grouper), 6408 nucleotides long. RefSeq lists it as uncharacterized. NCBI's taxonomy places the organism in Eukaryota, Metazoa, Chordata, Actinopteri, Perciformes, Serranidae. The record is from RefSeq and is a predicted model, not a curated record. The transcript is spliced from 2 exons.
UUAUUAACACUUAUAUUGUCUUAUUAAACAUUUAAUAAUGUUAAUAAGCAUCUCAUAAGGAGUUAUAAGCGCCUUAUUACAUAUUAACUAACGCUUAUUACAAGGACCUUAAAAUAAAGCGCUUCCCAUGUUCCUAGCAUUGACAUUAUCUCUGUGCUCUGCCUUAUGCCAUUUCUCCCUCUGUUUUAAGGACUCACCAGCCACAGCUCCUGUCUCUUCUCCACCUGAUUCGAAGUCUGCCAUUGCUGUCUCUCCAUGCUCGCUGACAUUAAAUUUCAGUAUAGUAGCUCUAUAGUAGCGUUAGCUAGGAUGAGGGCAGCAGGUGGACCCCCCUAUUUUAGGACGGCCUACAAUGGAGAAAUAAGGCACCUCCAUCCCUCUGCUAGCCUGGGAGUCCACCUUAGGCAAGCGGUAGCACUCCCUUUGCCUCCUAGUUAUGGGUCAAAUAGCAACUGGGCAGCUCUGAGUGCUAGUAGGCCUACUGUAGGCUACAGUAACACUGAGUGUUAGCACAGUAACUGCGUAAUCAAUUUCCCCUCCUUGUGAUUGUCUUCAUAAACAAAAUUGGUGCAUAUUUAAAGCCCCUACAAGGAACUUUAAUUUUGAGUUGAUUUUGGCGACCCUGUAGACAAAAGCGGUAGUGUUUUGCCGGAAUGAAGCCUACAUUUCCCAUGAGCUCUAGCGCGUUUUGUCGUAAAGACGCUUACCUGGCUCGCGCAUGUGUUUGUUUUGGGGAUGAAUGAAACAACAAGACGGGAAAACUUUGCCCCCGCUCCUAUCGGGGAUCCCAGCUCACCUCUGCCGCGCCCCAGCUCCACCACUCCAGCGUAAGCGCCACCACCGCCGGGGUAAACGCAGCGGUCGGCUGGUAAGGCUGAAGGCCUGUUUGGCGAGCACUUCCACGGCUUCUUGGACUGAAUAUGGAGCGAUGCCUCGCCUCUUUAUUUCUUGGCACUCGCUGGACCCUGUCGACGCCUGGCUGGUACCUGUCGUCGGCCCGGAUGAGGUGUUCCAGCCCCGCGGCCCCUGCUCUCCUCGUCCCUGCCUGCGCGGGGUGAAUCUGCGCAACCUGCGGCCUCUGUGUGUGGCUCCCCGGACAGCUAACGCCGUGGACCCGCCGGCUCCUGCCAGGAUUGGGCUGGUAAAUGCUAGAUCGCUAGCGAACAAAACGUUUAUCCUGAGGGAUUUCCUGACUUCCCGAGGAUUGGAUUUUCUCUGUGUGACUGAGACGUGGCUGACUGUUGGUGAGUCCAGUGCUUUCACAGAACUUUCACCCGCUGAUUGCUGCUAUUUUAACUCCCCGCGGACGUCGGGACGAGGAGGAGGAAUAGCGAGUGCCAUAAAUUGUUUCGUCCUGGAAGCGACCUGGGGCGGACCCAGAGACAAUUUCCUAAAGAUGGAAAUACUUCUGAAUCAGAUCCUCUUCUGUGGGGCUGUCCGAUGCUGACCCUGAUAAACAAAGGGAGAAAAAGAUAAAGAGACAACGUUUUUCAGCAAGAACAGGCUGCAGCACAUUAUCCAGUCUGCAGAGAAUACCUUCAGCUGCAAUCUGCCAUCUCUUGUGGACCUGUACACAUUGGGCCUCAUUCUGCAAACAAAUUUAGAACUUCCUCAGACACAAAUGCAUGUAUGCACAAAUUAUGACAGCCUGGCUGUCUUACAAAAUAUUGAAACUUGCCUUUUAUCUAAAUGUAAAGCAUAUCAAAACCACAUUCAUUAAAAAAAACUUUAAUAGAAGCCUUGGAAGUGUUUUUAUGGUGGAUUUAUUUGAUUUGAUUUUCCUUGUUUUUAGGAUUUUAAUAUAAAUGUCAUGAUAAUCUGUUUCCUAUGUUAGGCUCUUUUGUUUAAUUUUUAUGAAUGUAUUGUGUUAGAUUAUUUAUCAUUAUCAUUGCUAUUAUUUAUUAUUAUCAUCAUAAUCAUCAUUGGGUGAUAGUCCUUGCUGGAUGUACUCACUUUCACCUUCAUUUUUUUAUCCCACUUGUGCAUAUUGACUAUUAUUGCGGUGAGCCUCUGAUCUUGGAUUAUUGCAGCCCAUGGAGUUUUUAUUAUGAGUAGCAAAACUGUCUUUUCUGUCCUCCUCCUCAGACUCGGGCAGUGCAGCGUUGUGUCCACGGUACAGACUGAAUGGGAGGAGGCAGCGCUGAUAGACAGCAGGCAAAUCAGAGAAAACAUUAUUUCAUGAUUGUUUCACAGCGGUUCAGCUCUAAACACUAAUAGAUAAUAUUUAAUUUUAUAUCCCAAAAACUAAUAUCAAAUUAUUUAUAAUAUGAGCUGUUAAAAGUCUGUAAUGAAUAAGUCUACAGUAUAAUCAUGACCUCUGUAUUAUACAUUAAAAAAUGUUCAGAAAAGUAGGCCUCCGAACUGAAACCUGGGGUGUCCCGGAAAAUGAUGUUAGUUACAGUAAUGUUAGCUAACAUUACUACUACGGAUACACUACUCGUGUAGAACUCAAAGUCUCUAGCACGCUAACGUCAGCUGUGUAAAUCAGCUUCACUUUAAUUAUACAGUAAAAGAUGAGGGCCACGUGAAAAACAAGAAAAGAAAGAAAAAUAAAAAAGAAUACGUACCUUUCUGUGUUGCCUGUCCCGGCUCCAACUUUCCUCCAAACAUAACUUUCUUCUUCUCGCUCACUCGUCUGCUCCAUAUGUUGAUACGUCUGUUGUCUGUCUCUCGGGUGGAAGCUCAGCACUGUCCCUACAGGCCUGGAGCACUUCCGUUGUAUGACUGGCUAUGCAGUGUUUUCUUUUUGCAUUUGUUUUCUUAUUUGCAGCGCGUUUCUGUAUAUGCAGCACGUUUCUGUAUUUGCAGCAUUUUCCCUUUGCAUUUGUUUUCUUAUAUGCAGUGCGUUCUCUAUUUGCAGUGCGUUUCUGUAUUUGCAUCGCGUUUGUCCUUGUCGGCCACCGUACAUUACGCCCACAAGCUAUCCUGGCGUGUGCAGCACGUAUGGUCAGGUGACCACCCGGCGUGAAGCAGUGACAAUGAUACUGGAUUACUACAAGAUGGUCCACCUACAAUAUACUCCCAUUGUAUGAAAUGGUAUACAUUUCCAGUCUCCUAAGUAGGUGUUGUCCUCCGUACCCCAAUCAAAGACGAUGGAGAACCGCCAAUCAAAGACGAGUAUACCCAACCUCGCUUCUGUCAACAUGUGUGUACCCUUACUGGCCGUAAGCUAAAUAAAUAAAGGGUCCGUGAAAAAAAUAUUUUUUCCAGCAGAUGUCUUAGUUACAACAUGAUUGAGCUAACUGGAGUAAUGCCGUAUCCAACAACGGGAGGCUUUUAACAGAUGACGUCCUGAUGUUGGCUUUGCUGCUGCUGUUAGCUGUCCCUGUCAGCUGCAGCUACUGAUGCUUUCUAGACAUCGUGAUUUCCCAAAACUGAAUAAAUACCACACAUUGCAACACAAAGCUGCUUUGCUAGCUCAAUCAUGUUGUAACUAAGAUAUGCGCUGGAAAAAAAUAUUUUUUUAAUCCAGGAUCUUGAAACUGCACUGGUUUCAGCGCCAGAGAGGAGAUAUCUGUUGCCAGAUCUCGCGAGAGUGUGCUGUUGAGACAAAGACAGGUCUUGAACAAAGUAAAUUUUCUCCUGAUUUGUCCAUCUGAAAUUUGCCAUUUUGGUGUCGGAAUGUUCUGAAGAUAUGUGGCUUGUGAUAAAUGGGUCCAAUAUUUGCUUCCGUGACUAUGGGGCGAAAGAAUCGGCCAUAAUCUGUAAUCACGUUCAUUUCUCCCACUGAAGUCAAUGGACUCAGUACCUGCUGUUAGUCUCCUAAAGGGGCGUGGUGGUCGCGAACCCCACGUGACACUGAUACAGGAAACUGAUUCGCAGUGGACCGUCUUGGUUUAUCCACCGUCUUUGGCAGUGACCAACAUAGAUGCUGAAGAAGAGCAUGAGCACGACCAUGAGCAGGCUGAGUUGGUGGCGAAAAAAACACAACGUCUAUUAUAUGGCGAUACUUUGGAUUCAGGUACGGCGAUGUUGAACAGAAAGACGUGCUGUGUAAAAGUUUAAAAGUUAAAGCUAUAGUGUGUAACUUCUACAUGUCCGUAAAUGUCUGUUUCACCCAAGCCACUACUAGAGGAGAUGACACAAUGCUGCUGCGCUGGCUCACAGGAAAUGCCGUGUUUUACCUCACAACAAGAAGGGAGGGGGAGGAAGAGCGGAGAGUCUCAUAGCAAGAGGUAGAGCGCAGGUAGAAAGAGAAAGCAACAUGGUGGAGAACCCAAAGAAGCGGCCGAGACACGGUUCAGAAGUGGAUCCUACCACAAAGAAAAAGCCUGGACGUUCGGCUGAGGGAAAGUGACUGCUGUGUGAGCAGCGUGUUUGACUGUGCUCUGUUGAUGGUCAAUUACACUGUCCAUAACAAUACUUAUGUCAUGUCAGGUCAGUGCCCCCCUAAUAUAAUGUAGGGAAAACACUGAACUUUUUAUUAUACUGUAAUCGCAAUCGCAAAUCGCAAUAUUGUCCACUCAAAUCGCAAUCGCACAUUUUUAUCAAAUUGUGCAGCACUACUAGAGAGGAUGGAGGAUACUCUGAAUCACUCUAGUCCAGAGGCUUUUCAGAACAAUGAAGAAAAGACAAAAUUUUACACAGCAUUACCCACUUUCUUAGUUAUGAUGCAAGUGUUUAGACUGUGAGCCAUACAUCACCUCUAAUGGUUUGUCUGCACUCUCUAAAUUUGAACAGCUCAUUUUGGUCUUAAUUCAGUUGAGACUAAAUCUUCCACUCCAAGAUUUGGCUUUCAGGUUCAAGAUUUCCUGUUCCACUGCUUCUCGGAUUUGGCACAAGAUAAUUGCCACACUACAUCAAAGACUAGAGUUCAUAAUAAGAGUGGCUGGAGCGAGAGGUACUGCAAGCUACCAUGCCAAUGUCCUUUAGGCAAGCAUUUGGAUGCAAGGUUGCAGUAAUUGUGGACUGUUUUGAAGUUUUCAUUGGAAUUCAAAUUUGCUGGCAAGAGCACAAACCUGGUCCAAUUAUAAACACCACAACUAGGGAUGUCAUGAUUACUUGAUUUCACUAUUAACCGCGAUUUUAAACGCCACGGUUAAUUAUUCGUAAAGAUUUCUCAACACCGUCACUCUCCAAAGAUUAUGCCGGGAGGGAACCAUAUACAGUAGGCAGAUCAGCCCAACUCUCACGGAAUGAAAACAAAGUUACACAAGCGGUACAGGUGAAUAGGCGUCUCCGAGUGAGGAAGUAUGGAUUAUUUAUGUUUCAAAGGGCAUCUAUAAGUCAAAAGCUAGCUAGAUGUUUUUUUUUUUCCUGUUUAAAAAUUCUCUUCUCAGGUCCAAAAGAAAUGUUCAGAAACAUUUUUGUAAUAUAGUUUACAGAAAGUCUGUAAAGAAAUACAUGUAGCUUUUGAAACCUUUUUUCCCAAAAGGGAAAUCCUGCUGUGGAUGUUUAACACAGAGGUGAUUUUUGUUUAAUUCCAAUGGGAUUAUUGUCAUUAAAUCUUGUACUUUUUGGUUACUUUUCUUUGUUGCUAUAUUAUUUUUGUUAUGUUGGCAUGGCAAUAAAUGAAACUUAAAGAUCUAUAAGGAGUGUUCAUGUGAUUUUACACAUUUAUAGUGUGAAAUUAAUUAAUGCAUAAUAAUCGUGAUAAUCGUAAAACCAUGAUUAUUUCUCUGACAAUAAUCGUACCAAGAAAAUCUAUAAUCGUGACAUCCCUAACCACAACACAGUUAAAUUUCUCAUUGGUAUUGCUCCUCAAGGAUAUGUCACAUACAUCUCUCGUGCUUGGGGAGGGAGAGUGAGUGACAAGCUGAUAACUGAAGAGAGUGGUAUUCUGGAGAAUUUGUUGCUGGGGGACAUUGUUCUGGCAGACCGUGGCUUUAACAUAGGUGAAAGUGUCGGAUUUUUCUGUGCUUCAUUGAAGAUGCCUGUUUUCACAAAAGGGAAGAAUCAGCUAUCUGCAUAUGAGGUUGAACAAACAAGAAAACUUGCUAAUGUCCGUAUUCAUGUGGAAAGGGUCAUUGGAUUAGUGAGAAGAAAAUACCUAAUUCUGCAUAGGGCAAUGCCCACUGAACACAUAGCAGUAAAAGCAGGAAAUUCACUGGCACUGAUUGAUAAGAUAGGCGUUAUUUGCUGUGCAUUAACCAAUCUUUCAGACUCUGUUGUUCCACUGGAGUGAGCAACUAAUUCAGUUACUACUCACCCCCAUGCCGAUAGAAGGUCUGAUAUAGUUUUUUGUUGUCUUGUUCAGGCACAGUUUGGAGAAGAGGCAGCUAACACAGUUGAAUGACUCUAGCCAAAACAAUAUAAACAAUAUAUGUUGGCAACUUUUUAAUUGCCUUUUAUAUACUGUACAUGUACAUGUGUUAUAUUUAUCUCUUAACAUAAAUACAUAUUGUCAUUAAACAUAUUAUUAUUAAGAUAUUUCAUACUUUCUUUUAAUGUUUUGUCCUUCCUCCCUCU